This 62-nucleotide transfer RNA is filed under the name Brachionus rubens. RNAcentral describes it as "tRNA-Tyr". It matches the Rfam family "tRNA". Rfam says of the family: Transfer RNA (tRNA) molecules are approximately 80 nucleotides in length. Lineage: Eukaryota; Metazoa; Rotifera; Eurotatoria; Ploima; Brachionidae. The record is from RNAcentral.
GAUUAUUUAGUAUAAUUUAUUACUUUAGACUGUAAAUCUAAUAAUGGCACUGUCAAUAAUCA